This 301-nucleotide ribosomal RNA is filed under the name uncultured bacterium. Its description in RNAcentral is "partial 16S ribosomal RNA". It matches the Rfam family "Bacterial small subunit ribosomal RNA", at positions 509 to 807 of the family's 1533-position model. The record is from RNAcentral.
CAGUCGCCGCGGUAAUACGUAGGGUGCAAGCGUUAAUCGGAAUUACUGGGCGUAAAGCGUGCGCAGGCGGUUAUGUAAGACAGAGGUGAAAUCCCCGGGCUCAACCUGGGAACGGCCUUUGUGACUGCAUAGCUAGAGUACGGUAGAGGGGGAUGGAAUUCCGCGUGUAGCAGUGAAAUGCGUAGAUAUGCGGAGGAACACCGAUGGCGAAGGCAAUCCCCUGGACCUGUACUGACGCUCAUGCACGAAAGCGUGGGGAGCAAACAGGAUUAGAUACCCGGGUAGUCCCUGUCUCUUAUAC